Molecule: long non-coding RNA, 463 nt
Organism: Capsicum annuum
Lineage: Eukaryota; Viridiplantae; Streptophyta; Magnoliopsida; Solanales; Solanaceae
Exons: 2
Source: RefSeq, a predicted model, not a curated record
AGGAUUGAUUUCAAUCCUUUCUUUACGUAGUAAGCAAAAUCAAAAUAGGAUUGGGAGAUAUUGGGGCUCCAACGUGCAGCAAUCACCAAGAGGAAAAAAAAAAUUAUAUAGGACCUUUGGGUUAGAAAACGCAGAAGCAGUGCGUCAAAACUGAAAAAAAAAAAAAAAAACAGCUUAUCUUUUGUAGAAGAAAAAUUAAGGAAAGAAGAAGAAGAAAAAGUUAGUUUGUUUGGAUAUUUUUAUCGGGUUUAAGACAAAGCAGGUGACGGUGAGGAUCGCGUUGGCUAGAGGAUCCGAGUAGCAUAUUCCUGGUGAGCCCCACAAUUGUUCACGUGGGUUGUAGUUUAUUUAUUCGUUAUGUUUCUUUUUCUUGAAAACUCUUAGUUUGCUCCAUAGUUAUGUCUUUAAAGUUUUGAAUAUUCUUUCAUUAUUUUGGAUUUGUGGAAUAUUAGAUUUUCUCUCA